RNAcentral lists this ribosomal RNA (187 nucleotides) under uncultured bacterium. RNAcentral describes it as "partial 16S ribosomal RNA". It matches the Rfam family "Bacterial small subunit ribosomal RNA", at positions 1314 to 1500 of the family's 1533-position model. The record is from RNAcentral.
GCCUUCAUGAAGCCGGAAUUGCUAGUAAUGGCAGGUCAGCAUACUGCCGUGAAUACGUUCCCGGGCCUUGUACACACCGCCCGUCACACCAUGAGAGUUGGGAAUACCCGAAGCCUGUGAGCCAACUGUAAAGAGGCAGCAGUCGAAGGUAGAAUCAAUGAUUGGGGUGAAGUCGUAACAAGGUACC